Molecule: long non-coding RNA, 533 nt
Organism: Athene cunicularia (burrowing owl)
Lineage: Eukaryota; Metazoa; Chordata; Aves; Strigiformes; Strigidae
Exons: 4
Source: RefSeq, a predicted model, not a curated record
GAAAUAAAGAUGGGAAGCUGGAGCUGGAUUUUGAUACACACAAGCAUGAUACUUGGAUAGCAGAAUUCCUUGCAGACCAUGGGGACAUUCCCAGCAGAAAAGUUCUGCACUCUGAGAAGAUGGUUCCAGAGUUUCCUGGCCCAGAAAUGGAGUAUUCAUUAUGGAUUUUGGCUUCACCUGGAAAAGACUCCAUGCAACUAGAAUUCUCCUGCCUGUUCUGCUGUGCUGUCCCCUCUCCCAAGCACACUACAGUGUCUUGUACCUGAAGCCUUGCAUGCAGAUUGUCCUGCAGAAGAAGGUGAACACUCAUCUGAUCACCAAGAGUCUGGCCACUGUUGAAUAUGAUUUUUGCAAGCCAAGAUUCAUUAGCAAAAGGGUGAAGAUCGUUUUUGGAUUCACCUGCAAGAAGAAAAGCUACUAUGGGAUCAUGAUGUACCACAACAACUGACUCAUCAGAUCCUACGAGAAGGUGGGAUGUCAAAGGAAGACAGAUGAUUGUUGUGUUGGGACAGAAACUCAACAGCUAUUGGAUG